AUGUUCACUGUUAUAUUCAUGUGUCUGUGGCUUUCACUCGGUGACUCCAUGGCAGCUUCAAUCAAGCCACUUUUUACUCAUACAAUUAUAGAUGAAGGCAGUGAUGUAACUCUGUCCUGCAACUACGAAGCAAGUGGUAAAGGAAACUACCUGCACUGGUACAGACAAAAUCCAAAAUCUAAACCUGACUUCCUUCUUUAUAUAUCACAAAGUGGAUAUAAAAGUGACUCAAUCCCACCACGUCUCUCUGCUGAAGUUGAUGAAAAGAAUAACCAAGUGGAUCUGCUCAUCUCCUCUGCUGCUGUAUCAGACUCUGCGCUAUACGACUGUGCUCUGCGGCCCACACAGCGGCGAGAUCAGGAUCCCAGCAGCGACUCUGACACAGCGGUUAUUCCUGCAGCACCGCUGGGUUUAUUCCCCACCGGCAGCAAUGAACUCUCAGUUUUCCUUUUCACUUCAACAACAAGCGCUUUAAACACCUCAUUAUUACAAAAAGGGUCAAAAAUAGCAGUGAACAGGCGGAAACGCUCUCAGGAAUAG
Neoarius graeffei (lesser salmon catfish) is the source of this 540-nucleotide non-coding RNA. Lineage: Eukaryota; Metazoa; Chordata; Actinopteri; Siluriformes; Ariidae. The record is from the annotation of a RefSeq genome assembly.